Molecule: transfer RNA, 75 nt
Filed under: Pithovirus LCPAC304
Lineage: Varidnaviria; Bamfordvirae; Nucleocytoviricota; Megaviricetes; Pimascovirales; Pithoviridae
Description: tRNA-Trp
Rfam family: tRNA
About the family: Transfer RNA (tRNA) molecules are approximately 80 nucleotides in length. Their secondary structure includes four short double-helical elements and three loops (D, anti-codon, and T loops).
Source: RNAcentral
GAAGGCGUAGCUCCAAUGGUAGAGCAGCUGACUCCAGAAAUCAGCAGGUUAUGUGUUCAAAUCACGUCGUCUUCC